RNAcentral lists this transfer RNA (74 nucleotides) under Actinomycetota bacterium. RNAcentral describes it as "tRNA-Arg". It matches the Rfam family "tRNA". Rfam says of the family: Transfer RNA (tRNA) molecules are approximately 80 nucleotides in length. The record is from RNAcentral. Lineage: Bacteria; Bacillati; Actinomycetota. RNAcentral also lists the same sequence under 1 other name.
GCCCCUGUAGCUCAGCUGGACAGAGCACCGGACUUCUAAUCCGAUGGUCGCAGGUUCGAAUCCUGCCGGGGGCG